This is a non-coding RNA of Arachis ipaensis, 1867 nucleotides long. The record is from RefSeq and is a predicted model, not a curated record. NCBI's taxonomy places the organism in Eukaryota, Viridiplantae, Streptophyta, Magnoliopsida, Fabales, Fabaceae.
GCCAAAUGACAACUAAAAUAAACAAGUAGCAUUACCCUGUUUUCCACAUAAAAUAAAAGAACAGAGUUGUUCUGUUUUUUCACAUCUGUUCUGUUUUUUCACACGCCAUACAUACCAUACAUAUGUAUCAUAUUUGUUUCUAUAUAUAUAUAUGAUAAGCUUUGGUAUGUGACCGACCUUUCGUGCUCUUUGAUUUGGUUUCUCAUCCUGAAAAGCUUGGUGGUCUUGGUUGGCUUCAAUGGCCAAUAUGAGAUCACUCAUGUCAAGCUUUUCCUCCUACUUCAAACUGCUUUUGCUGCUUCUCACUAUUUCUGAGACAUUUAUACAGACAAGUGGUUCUGAUUUUGGAAUCAACUAUGGACAAAUAGCCAACAAUCUUCCCUCUCCAUCACGCGUUGCUGUUCUUAUAAAAUCACUGAAUGUAAGCAGAUUGAAGCUCUAUGAUGCUGAUCCAAAUGUUCUAUCAGCUUUCUCCAAUUCCAAUGUGGAAUUCAUUAUAGGACUUGCAAAUGAGAAUCUUCAAAGCAUGAGAGACCCUUCAAAAGCUCAGAGUUGGGUUCAGCAAAAUGUUCAACCUUACCUAUCACAGACCAAGAUCACAUGCAUCACUGUAGGAAAUGAAGUCUUCAAUCUAAAUGAUACUCAGCUCAUGAUGAAUCUCCUUCCAGCAAUGCAAUCUGUUUAUAAUGCCCUUGUUAACCUUGGAUUAUCACAACAAGUUACUGUAACAACAGCACAUUCAUUCAACAUUUUAUCUAGUUCAUUCCCUCCUUCAUCUGGUGCUUUUAGGCAAGAUUUGAUUCCAUAUAUACAACCACUCCUUAACUUCCAUGCUCAAACCAAAUCACCUUUUCUUAUUAAUGCAUACCCUUUCUUUGCAUACAAGGACAGCCCUGAUAAGAUUUCAUUGAGUUAUGUACUAUUUCAACCAAAUUCUGGCUCAAUUGAUCCUGUAACCAAUCUGCAUUAUGAUAACAUGUUGUAUGCUCAGAUUGAUGCUGUCUAUGCUGCCAUCAAGGCCCUAGGCCAUACCGAUAUCGUGGUUAGGAUUUCGGAGACAGGUUGGCCUUCUAAGGGUGACCCAGAUGAGGUUGGAGCUACACCAGAGAAUGCAGAGAUAUAUAACAGCAAUUUGUUGAAGAGAAUACAGCAGAAACAAGCAACUCCUGCAAAUCCAUCAGUUCCAAUUGAUAUCUUUGUAUUUGCACUUUUCAAUGAGGAUUUGAAGCCUGGUCCUGCAUCAGAGAGGAACUAUGGCCUUUAUUAUCCUGAUGGUUCUCCAGUUUAUAACAUUGGAUUACAAGGUUAUCUCCCAGAAAUGGUCAUAGAAUCCAAAUCCAAUGUUUUGUCCAUCAAUUUUCUUAUUUAUACUAUUACAUGCUUGGUGUUGUGUUGGGAGCUUACAAGAUUGUGAUCAGAAUAAGUUAGUGAUAGAAGUAAAGAAAUUCAUAUAGACCAUUCUUUUGCAGCUGAAGUUGUUGAAGGAAGGUUUUUUUGGUGACUUCUUUGCAGGAAGUUUGACAAAGGUAAAAGCAGUACACUUUCUUUUCGCAACAAAUUCUACGCUUUUGGUAGAUAGCUAUGGUUGCAAGUUGGAGGCUUAGUUCGUACAUAUAGCUUUGCUCAAACCAUUCAUAUAGUUAUUGAUUUGUCAAUUCUACAAUAACUAAAGGUAGAAGGCUGAUGUUGGAUUUUGUAAUAUGGAUUAGAGUUUUCUGUUCUUUCUUUUUCUUUUUUUCUUUGUUGGAAAAAGUAGAGUUUUCUUUGGAUAUAGAGGGGGAAAAAAAUAGAUUUAGUUGUAUAUGUAAAGAAAAUGUUGGAUAAUGAGGAAGCUGUUUCGAUCCACUUUCUGUACACUUGUAACAAA